RNAcentral lists this long non-coding RNA (1500 nucleotides) under Heterocephalus glaber (naked mole-rat). Its description in RNAcentral is "lncRNA (ENSHGLG00100047803.1)". Lineage: Eukaryota; Metazoa; Chordata; Mammalia; Rodentia; Bathyergidae. The record is from RNAcentral.
CCCCCGGUCUGGGAGGGGAGGAGGGGCUCUGUGGGGCCGGGCGCGCAGUUCAAAGGGGGACGAGACUGGGCCGGGGGGCGCUCAGCGCUGCCUGCCCCGCAAACGCGAGGUCCUGCGUUGGAACGCCGGUGCCGGUGCCAGAGAAAGAGAGGAGGAGCAGAGCGAGCGGGACCAGAAGGCUGCGGAGCGGCGCACUGGGGGGCUGUCCGCGUCUCCACGGCUGUGGCCCGGAGUUUUCGCGGGGAAUGUUGGCUCGACCCUAGAAACCACCCGGAAGGCCCCGCGCUUAGGUCCUCAGACUCCGCACCCAGGACUUGCGAGGUUUUCCUCUCUCCGCGCUUGUCCACCUGUCCGGAAAGUCCCCUCACUUCCUCUGCGUGCUCUUCAUUUCUAGGCGUGAGAAUUCCACUUGUGGGAAGGGCGUUUUGAGCUUUUUUCUAUAUUUUUUUCAAUGAAGUUGCUCUUUAAAAAAAUAUCACCUCUGACCCAGGCGUGGGGGCGCACACCUGUCAUCCUGGCACUCGGGAGGCUGAGGCAGGAGGAUCCCUGGGAGUUCCAGACCAGCCUGGGCUGCGUGGUGAGAUUGUCUGAAAGGAACAAUUUUCCCCCUAAAAUGUCCACGCACCCUGCUUCUCCCGCUCCUGUUUAGGGUCACAGUGUCCGAACCUGACCUGGCUUUUCGUCCACAACUGUGCUUCUCCCUUGGGCGACAGAAGAGAUUCACCGUGACCUUGCGCUGGACGAAGACACGUAUUUCUGCUCCUUCCCCAACUCGGUCCUGCACCGCGGGGCCGUCUUCGAGGUCCACGCCGCCAUGGGCAACGCCACCUUCCAGGAGACCCUGCGCUUCGACAACCCAGGUGACAUGGGGCCCGGGGGGCCAGGGGCCAGGAUCUGGCCCCGUGCCGCGCCGCUGAGGCCCUGGUCGCUGCAUCCCAGGCAGGCCCCGGGGCCGGCGCCGCCAACCUGUCCUGCAUCAUCUAUGACGUGCACGCCAUGAACUGCAGCUGGGCGCCGGGCCAAACAGCCCCCGUGGACACCGUCUACCAGCUGUUCUGGUUCGACCCGUGAGUGGGCACCGUGGGGCGGGAUGGGGUGGCCCAGGCCGGACAAGUGGGGUGGACAGGGGGCUGCCAUCUCGGGUCCCUGGGUGGACAGGAAAUAAAGGGGUGCGGAUUGGAGACAAUUCACCCAAGACGUGGAGUCCACUGCUGUGUCCAUUAACAGAGGAACGGGUAAAGAGAAUGCGAUGGAAUACUAUACAGCCACAAACAGGGAAGGGGUUCAGGGCUGUGCAACAACACGGCAGGAAGCGGAGCUUGUGGUGCUCAGGGCCAUAAGCCAGGUGUGGGAGAUGAGUACUGAGCGGUGCUGGUCACAGGCGGAGGCCAAAAAUGUGGAAGCCAGAAGCCGAGAAGAAAGUGGAGGUGACCAGGGACCGGGGAGGUGGGGAUGCAGCGAGAGGAAUCUGAGAGGAAGUCACCGCUCGGCAGGAGCAGG